GUAUUCACUUCAGCAGCAUGUAUACUAAAAUUGGAAUGAUACAGAGAAGAUUAGCAUGGCCCUUGCACAAGGAUGACAUGCAAAUUCAUGAAGCAUUCCAUAUUUAA
Small nuclear RNA from Ictidomys tridecemlineatus (thirteen-lined ground squirrel), 107 nucleotides. The record is from Ensembl. Lineage: Eukaryota; Metazoa; Chordata; Mammalia; Rodentia; Sciuridae.